CGAGAGAUCGGGCGUUCCCCCUUCGGGGGGACAGGGUGACAGGUGGUGCAUGGUUGUCGUCAGCUCGUGUCGUGAGAUGUUGGGUUAAGUCCCGCAACGAGCGCAACCCUCGACCUUAGUUGCCAGCAUUCAGUUGGGCACUCUAAGGUGACUGCCGGCUAAAAGUCGGAGGAAGGUGGGGAUGACGUCAAAUCAUCAUGCCCCUUAUGACCUGGGCUACACACGUGCUACAAUGGGCGGUACAAAGGGU
Molecule: ribosomal RNA, 250 nt
Filed under: Anoxybacillus sp. ST4
Lineage: Bacteria; Bacillati; Bacillota; Bacilli; Caryophanales; Anoxybacillaceae
Description: partial 16S ribosomal RNA
Rfam family: Bacterial small subunit ribosomal RNA
Source: RNAcentral